Molecule: ribosomal RNA, 1519 nt
Filed under: uncultured bacterium
Lineage: Bacteria
Description: 16S ribosomal RNA
Rfam family: Bacterial small subunit ribosomal RNA
Source: RNAcentral
AGUUUGAUCCUGGCUCAGGACGAACGCUGGCGGCGGGCUUAACACAUGCAAGUCGUACGAGGCCUUCGGGCCGAGUGGGGCANGGGUGCGUAACGCGUAGGCAACCUGCCCCAGAGUGGGGAAUAACCCCGGGAAACCGGGGCUAAUACCGCAUGUCGAGCGGGGGCGGCAUCGCCCCUGUUUGAAAGCCUUCGGGCGCUCUGGGAUGGGCCUGCGUUGGAUUAGCUUGUUGGUGCGGUAACGGCGCACCAAGGCGGCGAUCCAUAGCUGGUCUGAGAGGAUGAUCAGCCACACUGGCACUGAGACACGGGCCAGACUCCUACGGGAGGCAGCAGUGAGGAAUCUUGCGCAAUGGGGGCAACCCUGACGCAGCCACGCCGCGUGGAGGACGACACCCCUACGGGGCGUAAGCUCCUUUUCUGCGGGAAGAACGCCGGCCUCGGGCCGGGUUGACGGUACCGCAGGAAUAAGCACCGGCUAACUCCGUGCCACAGCCGCGGUAAUACGGAGGGUGCAAGCGUUGUCCGGAUUUAUUGGGUGUAAGGGUGUGUAGGCGGACUUGUAGUCAGGGGUGAAAGGCCGCGGCUCAACCGCGGGACUGCCUUUGAUACUGCAGGUCUUGAGUGUCGGAGGGGCCACUAAAAUUCGUGGUGUACGGUAAAUGCGUAAAUUCACAGAAUACCAAGGCGUAGGCGGGUGGCUGGACAACAACUUGAACNUUGAAGGCCACCGAAAGCUUGGGGAGCGAACAGGAUUUAGAUACCCUGUUAGUUCCACGCCGUGUAAACAGAUGGAACGCUCGUGUCGGCCCGUAUGGCUUCGGUGCCUAAGCGAACGCGAUAAGCGUCCCACCUGGGGAGUACCGCCCGCAAGGGGUGAAACUCAAAGGAAUUGACGGGGGCCCGCACAAAGCGGUGGAGCAUGUGGCUUAAUUCGAUGCAACGCGAAGAACCUUACCCGGGCUCGAACGCCAGAGGACAGCCCCUGAAAGGGGGUCUCCCGAAAGGGCCUCUGGCGAGGUGCUGCAUGGCUGUCGUCAGUUCGUGUCGUGAGAUGUUGGGUUAAGUCCCGCAACGAACGCAACCCCUACUCUUAGUUACCAGCGGGUCAGGCCGGGGACUCUAAGAGGACUGCCUGCGCAAGCAGUGAGGAAGGCGGGGACGACGUCAAGUCAUCAUGGCCCUUACGCCCGGGGCUGCACACGUGCUACAAUGGACGGUACAGAGGGACGCCACCCCGCGAGGGGGCGCCAAUCUUCAAAGCCGUUCUCAGUUCGGAUCGGAGUCUGCAACUCGACUCCGUGAAGCCGGAAUCGCUAGUAAUCGCGGAUCAGCUACGCCGCGGUGAAUACGUUCCCGGGCCUUGUACACACCGCCCGUCAAGCCAUGGAAGCCGGGGGCACCCGAAGUCCGUCGCCCGACCCGCAAGGGGGGGAGCGGCCGAAGGUGAACUCGGUGACUGGGGCUAAGUCGUACAAGGUAGNCCGUACCGGGAGAGGUGCGGCUGGAUCACCUCCUUA